ACUCCUACGGGAGGCAGCAGUGAGGAAUUUUGCGCAAUGGCCGCAAGGCUGACGCAGCAACGCCGCGUGGGUGAUGAAGGCCUUCGGGUCGUAAAGCCCUGUCAGGUGGGAAGAAAGGCCUUAAGGAGAAAGACUUGAGGUUUGACGGUACCACCAGAGGAAGCACCGGCUAACUCCGUGCCAGCAGCCGCGGUAAUACGGAGGGUGCGAGCGUUAUUCGGAAUUACUGGGCGUAAAGCGCGUGUAGGCGGGGGGACAAGUCUGAUGUGAAAGCCCUGGGCUUAACCUGGGAAGCGCAUUGGAAACUGUUUUUCUUGAGUACUGGAGAGGAAGGGGGAAUUCCCGGUGUAGAGGUGAAAUUCGUAGAGAUCGGGAGGAAUACCGGUGGCGUAGGCGCCCUUCUGGACGGUAACUGACGCUGAGACGCGAAAGCGUGGGGAGCAAACAGGAUUAGAUACCCUGGUAGUC
RNAcentral lists this ribosomal RNA (468 nucleotides) under uncultured bacterium. RNAcentral's name for it is "bacterial SSU rRNA". It matches the Rfam family "Bacterial small subunit ribosomal RNA", at positions 335 to 795 of the family's 1533-position model. The record is from RNAcentral.